CCCAACUAUCCCUAUUAAUCAUUACGGUGAUCCUAGAAACCAACAAAAUAGAACCAUGCCGUCCUAUUCUAUUAUUCCAUGCUAAUGUAUUCGAGCAAAAAUGCCUGCUUUAAACACUCUAAUUUUUUCAAGGUAAAGGUCCUGGAUCCGCAAGACACCCAAAAUUAAGGACAUCCAAGUUUCUCCAGAAGGUGAGAAAUCAACAGCAACAGUUCAUACCCCCUCCUUAAGGCACACGACCAUCACACGUCAAUCCCGAAAUUCAACUACGAGCUUUUUAACUGCAACAACUUUAAUAUACGCUAUUGGAGCUGGAAUUACCGCGGCUGCUGGCACCAGACUUGCCCUCCAA
Molecule: unclassified non-coding RNA, 352 nt
Filed under: uncultured Glomerales
Lineage: Eukaryota; Fungi; Glomeromycota; Glomeromycetes; Glomerales; Glomeraceae
Also listed under: 1 other name
Description: sequence contains 18S rRNA gene
Source: RNAcentral